Branchiostoma floridae (Florida lancelet) is the source of this 495-nucleotide long non-coding RNA. RefSeq lists it as uncharacterized. The record is from RefSeq and is a predicted model, not a curated record. The transcript has 3 exons. NCBI's taxonomy places the organism in Eukaryota, Metazoa, Chordata, Leptocardii, Amphioxiformes, Branchiostomatidae.
UAGACAUUCAACGCCGUACAAAGGACAGGAUGCUCAUUAUUUCUCGAGGUUUCGAGAACAUAAAAAUAGCACCCGAGCAUCGUUUUUUCCUAACUCAAUGUGGCAGGAGAAUAAGGAAUGGAAGAUAUCCAAUCAGUAAAUGACGUUAAGUUUUGGUACGUGGCGUGAUUCAGAGGAUGGAGAGGUUGCUUGCACGGAUGUUCAGUACGCUUGCGCCAUGGCUCCGCCUGCCACCUGGAUGAGCCCGAGUGCUGCCGAGUGUUCCCGAGACUUCUGCCGAAGGGCCGCGAUGCCCAGACUGUUGCUGUUAAAGUCAGUGCUGUUGGCGCCUGGAGUAAAAGAGAAAAAAUGAUAAAGUUGAGCCGUCCAUGCUGUACGCAUGCGCAGAUGAUGAGUAGCUGUGCGCAGGCGCGGUGCAGUACGUCUGUGCGGUGUUGUAGGAGUAGGUGUCCGCAGCAGUGCUGCUGUAACAGUCGGUGGACGGGAUGGAGGUGG